RNAcentral lists this ribosomal RNA (259 nucleotides) under uncultured bacterium. Its description in RNAcentral is "partial 16S ribosomal RNA". It matches the Rfam family "Bacterial small subunit ribosomal RNA", at positions 9 to 249 of the family's 1533-position model. The record is from RNAcentral.
GAGUUUGAUCAUGGCUCAGGAUGAACGCUAGCUACAGGCUUAACACAUGCAAGUCGAACGGGAAACAUUUUAUUGAAGCUUCGGCAGAUUUAGUUUGUUUCUAGUGGCGGACGGGUGAGUAACGCGUGGGUAACCUGCCUCACACUGGGGGAUAACAGUCAGAAAUGACUGCUAAUACCGCAUAAGCGCACGGAACCGCAUGGUUUUGUGUGAAAAAACUCCGGUGGUGUGAGAUGGACCCCGCGUUGGAUUAGCCAGU